CCUACGGGAGGCAGUAGUGGGGAAUAUUGGACAAUGGGGGCAACCCUGAUCCAGCCAUGCCGCGUGUGUGAAGAAGGCCCUCGGGUUGUAAAGCACUUUCAGUGAGGAAGAACGCCUGGUGGUUAAUACCCAUCAGGAAAGACAUCACUCACAGAAGAAGCACCGGCUAACUCCGUGCCAGCAGCCGCGGUAAUACGGAGGGUGCGAGCGUUAAUCGGAAUUACUGGGCGUAAAGCGCGCGUAGGUGGCUUGAUAAGCCGGUUGUGAAAGCCCCGGGCUCAACCUGGGAACGGCAUCCGGAACUGUCAAGCUAGAGUGCAGGAGAGGAAGGUAGAAUUCCCGGUGUAGCGGUGAAAUGCGUAGAGAUCGGGAGGAAUACCAGUGGCGAAGGCGGCCUUCUGGACUGACACUGACACUGAGGUGCGAAAGCGUGGGUAGCAAACAGGAUUAGAUACCCGUGUAGUC
Molecule: ribosomal RNA, 465 nt
Filed under: Vreelandella stevensii
Lineage: Bacteria; Pseudomonadati; Pseudomonadota; Gammaproteobacteria; Oceanospirillales; Halomonadaceae
Description: partial 16S ribosomal RNA
Rfam family: Bacterial small subunit ribosomal RNA
Source: RNAcentral